CGCCUGGUUAACAAAAACAUGUCUUCUUGAUAAUAUUAUGAGGUUUGACCUGCUCACUCGAAAAUUUUUAAAUAGCCGCGGUAUUUUGACCGUGCAAAGGUAGCAUAAUCAUUAGUCUCUUAAUUAGAGGCUGGAAUGUGGUUUGACGAGAAAUUAACUCUCUCUUAAUAAAUUUUAAAAUUUAACUUUUAAGUUAAAAGGCUUAAAUUUUUCUUUAGGACGAGAAGACCCUAUAGAGCUUUACAUCUAAGUUAGAUAUUUUUUUAAGAUUGUCUUUUUAUAUUUAAUGAUAAUGUUUUGUUGGGGUGACAUAAAGAAUUAAUAAACUUUUUAUUAUAAAAUCAUUAAUUUAUGUUUAUUUUGAUCCAUAAUUUAUGAUCAUAAGAUAAAGUUACCUUAGGGAUAACAGCGUAAUUGUUUUAAAGAGCUGAUAUGACAAAGCGGAUUGCGACCUCGAUGUUGGAUUAAGAAAAUUUUGGGUGCAGUAGCUCAAUAAAUUAGGUCUGUUCGACCUUUGGGUCGA
Molecule: ribosomal RNA, 523 nt
Filed under: Dasyhippus peipingensis
Lineage: Eukaryota; Metazoa; Arthropoda; Insecta; Orthoptera; Acrididae
Description: partial 16S ribosomal RNA
Rfam family: Bacterial large subunit ribosomal RNA
Source: RNAcentral